Dermochelys coriacea (leatherback sea turtle) is the source of this 1480-nucleotide long non-coding RNA. RefSeq lists it as uncharacterized. The record is from RefSeq and is a predicted model, not a curated record. NCBI's taxonomy places the organism in Eukaryota, Metazoa, Chordata, Testudines, Dermochelyidae. The transcript has 3 exons.
UCUGAACUCUGGAUCUUCACUGACCAAGGACAGCAACUGUGAGCGGGAUGUAGUGGAAGGAGAGGGGAGUGGUGUGUUAAAGAAAUAUUUGUUUGUUGGACUUCCACAGCGCAAGGUGAGAAACUGAGUCAAAGGACACUGCCCAGCAUACUCUGAGCUUCCCCUGGCAAGUCAGCAUGAGGAGGGAUUAUAUAGGAAUGCAACUGGGAUAGAACCUGUCAAUAUGCUCCACAAAGUGGGCAUGGUCUAAUGGGAGAAUUUUGUGUCCACAAAAGAGGUAGGUUGAUGACAGCUGAAGAAGACUGUAUUUGCUGAAGAGCAGCAUGAUGGUAGAGAGGAGCGGAGUUCCUGAGGGAGAUCUAAUGGUGCCUCUCCUUCCUGCACAGAGAUAAAGACUUAUAAUAAGCGUGUAUGUUCACCAUCUGGCUCUGUGCAUGUGGUCCUUAUGGAGGCGAAAGCUGCACAAUCUGUAAAUGAUCAGGAGCCAUAGCACUCUCUCCAGAGAAUCCACGAUGCAAUCAAGGUGACAGAUGGCAUGGCCACUGCUGUGGCCUCAUGGAGAAGAUCAAAAUCACCUUCAAUAAACUCUGACUGAAAUGGGCAUGAGCACCUCAAAAAAGUCAGUUUGUCAGUCAAACUGUGACAGCAAGCUGCAUUGGGGAAACAUAGCGGCCAGCUCGCUGUUUUCAAUCGUUUCCGUCUGACUGAGCCUGAACUAUGAUCUUUCUCAAAUUGUCCUUUCUGUUUAUCUGAAGCAGGCCAGCAAAUUGCCAGAUUCAUAGCUUUAUUGAAAGAAAUUGAAAACAUGAUGUCCUCAAUUCAAGGGACAAACAACUGGCAGGUGUUUGGACACCCAAGCACAUAAAAUGGACCCCUGGUCUUUAGAACAUGUUUGUCCAACUUUUGUCAGAUUAAAUAUAGAUAUAUUAUAAAAUGUAUGUCAUAAAAUUCCAAUCUACGCAGGGUUUAGCUGACAGCAAUUACAUGACCGAAAAUAAACCUCAUAUUAUAUAUUCAAUGCUGGAUUUUUUCCCUCCUUUAUGCCACAAAUACUAUAUCUAUUGAUAAUUAGACUAAUCUUUAUUUCCCCUUUAGUUGAGUAUCUUCGUACACCAAAUUUACCUUCAUGGUCCAUCAAGUCUAAUCAGCGAGAACCUGAUUCUGCAAGAUUCUGAAUGUUCUCAACUGUCAUUGAUUUCAGCAGAGGUAGAGGGUGCCCAGUACCUCAUAGGAUCAGGCCAUACGGGCCCAAUCCUUCAAAGCACUGAUCAUCACCUGAAGAGACUGAACACCCUACACUCUCAUUCGAGUUAAUGGGGGUAAAUGGUGCUCAGCACUUAGCAGGAUCUAAUAUCCUAAGUCAGCAGGAAAGAUAUGUACCAAGCCUUUUUUGUUCUCUGCAACUGCAUGAACAGUUAAGAGAUCGUGCACUGUUGCUUCCUUUAUAUCGGUGUCUUUAAAGACUUGGCCAGCUUGUAUU